RNAcentral lists this small nucleolar RNA (104 nucleotides) under Suricata suricatta (meerkat). RNAcentral's name for it is "Small nucleolar RNA U13 (ENSSSUG00005019918.1)". It matches the Rfam family "Small nucleolar RNA U13". The record is from Rfam by way of RNAcentral. Lineage: Eukaryota; Metazoa; Chordata; Mammalia; Carnivora; Herpestidae.
AUCCUUUUGUAGUUUAUAAGCGUGAUGAUUGGGUGUUCAGGCCAUUGUGUGACAUGUGCCACCCUUAAACCCUGUUACGAUGCCGGCACAUUACCUGUCUGACG